RNAcentral lists this ribosomal RNA (451 nucleotides) under uncultured bacterium. RNAcentral's name for it is "partial 16S ribosomal RNA". It matches the Rfam family "Bacterial small subunit ribosomal RNA", at positions 29 to 523 of the family's 1533-position model. The record is from RNAcentral.
AGUGAACGCUGGCGGCAGGCUUAACACAUGCAAGUCGAACGGGUGCAGCAAUGCAUCAGUGGCAGACGGGUGAGUAACACGUGUGAACCUUCCUAGGGGUACGGAACAACUCAGGGAAACUUGAGCUAAUACCGUAUGUGUCCGAGAGGAGAAAGAUUUAUCGCCCUUAGACGGGCCCGCGUCGGAUUAGCUAGUUGGUGGGGUAACGGCCUACCAAGGCGACGAUCCGUAGCUGAUCUUAGAGGAUGAUCAGCCACACUGGGACUGAGACACGGCCCAGACUCCUACGGGAGGCAGCAGUGGGGAAUCUUGGACAAUGGGCGCAAGCCUGAUCCAGCCAUGCCGCGUGAGUGAAGAAGGUCUUCGGAUUGUAAAGCUCUUUUGCCAGGGACGAUAAUGACGGUACCUGGAGAAUAAGCCCCGGCAAACUUCGUGCCAGCCGCCGCGGUAA